GACGAACGCUGGCGGCGUGCCUAAUACAUGCAAGUCGAACGCUGAAGGAGGAGCUUGCUUCUCUGGAUGAGUUGCGAACGGGUGAGUAACGCGUAGGUAACCUGCCUGGUAGUGGGGGAUAACUAUUGGAAACGAUAGCUAAUACCGCAUAAGAGUAGAUGUUGCAUGAUAUUUGCUUAAAAGUUGCAAUUGUAUCAGUACCAGAUGGAGCUGCGUUGUUUUGGCUAGUUGGUGGGGUAACGGCUCACCAAGGCGACGAUGCAUAGCCGGACGGAGAGGGGGAGCAGCCGCACUGGGAGGGAGACACGGCCCAUAGGGCUUCGGGAGGCAGCAGUAGUGAAACGGCGGCAAGAGGUGGAAGUCAUAGCGAGAAACGCCGCGGGAGGGAAGAAGGAUGUCGGAUCGGAAAGCACGGUUGUAAGAGAAGAACGAGUGUGAGAGUGGAAAGUUCACACUGUGACGGUAACUGACCAGAAAGCGACGGCUAACUACGUG
RNAcentral lists this ribosomal RNA (495 nucleotides) under uncultured bacterium. Its description in RNAcentral is "partial 16S ribosomal RNA". It matches the Rfam family "Bacterial small subunit ribosomal RNA", at positions 28 to 507 of the family's 1533-position model. The record is from RNAcentral.